CGUGCAGUAGCCGAUGGGUGGUUUAGGACCAGAAUAAUCUUCUUUGCCUUAAUCCCAUCCUGCUACUUUUACCUUCCCUCUGCCGCCGCUCAGCUCCCUCUGCCCACACAUCUCGCUGCUGCCGGGAGAAAACUCCUCGGGGAGCUCUGCCAGCCCCCCAGCAGCACCAGCAGGGAGAAGCAGACCCCAGGAAAGGCUCGGAAGCUAAUCUGUCACCUCCUGCUCGACCCAGUGCUAUGCCAUCAGGUGUCCUGGCGCGGGCUGCUGCUAAUGAAGGAUUCCCCCGGGGCUCUGCACGCUGGGUGCCAUGGCUCUGCUUUGUGGGACGCCACAGAUAACCCCGAGCUGGGGCUCUGUGCUCCAGGACCGCGGAGCUGCAGGCAAGCAGGUAGAGGAAAUGCUGCGGGCCGGGGGAAGUGCCCGACCGGGUGUGUAGGAAUUCAAAAAGCAAAGAACAUCAUUUUCUGAUACAGGUUUAUAAUGAAUUUUGACUUAAAAUAAUAAGCAGUAUACACAACAUACAA
Long non-coding RNA from Tyto alba (common barn owl), 524 nucleotides. RefSeq lists it as uncharacterized. The record is from RefSeq and is a predicted model, not a curated record. The transcript is spliced from 2 exons. NCBI's taxonomy places the organism in Eukaryota, Metazoa, Chordata, Aves, Strigiformes, Tytonidae.